CCUACGGGAGGCAGCAGUGGGGAAUAUUGCGCAAUGGGGGAAACCCUGACGCAGCAACGCCGCGUGAGUGAGGAAGGACUUCGGUCUGUAAAGCUCUGUUAAUGAGGAAAAAUGGUAGUUGGUCUAAUAGGCCGAUUAUUUGAUGGUACUCAUAGAGGAAGCACCGGCUAACUUCGUGCCAGCAGCCGCGGUAAUACGAAGGGUGCAAGCGUUGUUCGGAUUUAUUGGGCGUAAAGCGCGCGUAGGCGGACCUUGCAAGUAAGAUGUGAAAUCUCGAGGCUCAACCUCGAAACUGCGUCUUAAACUACAGGUCUAGAAUCUCGGAGGGGAAGGGAAGUUUCGCAUGUAGGGGUAAAAUCCGUAGAUAUGCGAAGGAACACCAGAGGCGAAGGCGCCUUCCUGGAACGAGUAUUCGACGCUGAGGCGCGAAAGCGUGGGGAUCAAACAGGAUUAGGAUACCCUGGUAGUCCACGCUGUAAACGAUGAACACUAGGUAUUGGAGGAUUUGACCCCUUCAGUGCCGUAGCUAACGCGUUAAGUGUUCCGCCUGGGAAAGUCGGUCGCAAGCUAAAACUUAAAGGAAUUAGAACGGUGUUGAGAGNGCGAGCGACGACGAGGAGAG
RNAcentral lists this ribosomal RNA (622 nucleotides) under uncultured bacterium. Its description in RNAcentral is "bacterial SSU rRNA". It matches the Rfam family "Bacterial small subunit ribosomal RNA", at positions 338 to 948 of the family's 1533-position model. The record is from RNAcentral.